UGGGGAAUUUUGGACAAUGGGGGCAACCCUGAUCCAGCAAUGCCGCGUGUGUGAAGAAGGCCUUCGGGUUGUAAAGCACUUUUGUCCGGAAAGAAAACGCCGUGGUUAAUACCCGUGGCGGAUGACGGUACCGGAAGAAUAAGCACCGGCUAACUACGUGCCAGCAGCCGCGGUAAUACGUAGGGUGCAAGCGUUAAUCGGAAUUACUGGGCGUAAAGCGUGCGCAGGCGGUCCGCUAAGACAGAUGUGAAAUCCCCGGGCUUAACCUGGGAACUGCAUUUGUGACUGGCGGGCUAGAGUAUGGCAGAGGGGGGUAGAAUUCCACGUGUAGCAGUGAAAUGCGUAGAGAUGUGGAGGAAUACCGAUGGCGAAGGCAGCCCCCUGGGCCAAUACUGACGCUCAUGCACGAAAGCGUGGGGAGCAAACAGGAUUAGAUACCCUGGUAGUCCACGCCCUAAACGAUGUCAACUAGUUGUCGGGUCUUCAUUGACUUGGUACGUAGCUAACGCGUGAAGUUGACCGCCU
This 525-nucleotide ribosomal RNA is filed under the name uncultured bacterium. Its description in RNAcentral is "partial 16S ribosomal RNA". It matches the Rfam family "Bacterial small subunit ribosomal RNA", at positions 355 to 874 of the family's 1533-position model. The record is from RNAcentral.